Long non-coding RNA from Oncorhynchus gorbuscha (pink salmon), 283 nucleotides. RefSeq lists it as uncharacterized. Lineage: Eukaryota; Metazoa; Chordata; Actinopteri; Salmoniformes; Salmonidae. The record is from RefSeq and is a predicted model, not a curated record. The transcript is spliced from 3 exons.
AGAGAAGAGGGUGAAGUCCGGCUCGGCUGGAGAAGCAUCCGGCAGCUCUCAAUUAGAAGGAUCCAACAGCCUGGCUAGUCUGAAAGGAGAAGAUGUUGCCACGGGUAACCUACUGGACCUGGAGGAACGGACUCAUGUUGCCGUGGUUCUGGAAACCAAUGGCAACGAGGAGUUCCAGGUGGACGACCACACCGCUCCCGAGGACAUUGAUAACAACAACACUGUCUGGGAAAUUGAGGAAGACUUGGAUGAGGCUUUUUCUAGGUAAGACACUCAUCCUAAA